This 465-nucleotide ribosomal RNA is filed under the name uncultured bacterium. RNAcentral's name for it is "bacterial SSU rRNA". It matches the Rfam family "Bacterial small subunit ribosomal RNA", at positions 28 to 487 of the family's 1533-position model. The record is from RNAcentral.
GAUGAACGCUAGCGGCAGGCCUAACACAUGCAAGUCGAGGGGCAUCGCGGUGCAGCAAUGCACUGGCGGCGACCGGCGUACGGGUGCGUAACGCGUAUGCAACCUACCAUUGAUUGGGGCAUAGCCCGAAGAAAUUCGGAUUAAUACUCCAUAAUAUUCAUUAAAGGCAUCUUUUAUGAAUUAAAGCUUUUGCGAUCAAUGAUGGGCAUGCGUGACAUUAGUUAGUUGGUGAGGUAACGGCUCACCAAGGCAUCGAUGGGUAUGGGGUCUUAAAGGAUGGUCCCACACACUGGCACUGAGACACGGGCCAGACUCCUACGGGAGCAGCAGUGAGGAAUAUUGGUCAAUGGGUGAGAGCCUGAACCAGCCAUCCCGCGUGCAGGAUGACGGUCCUAGUGAUUGUAAACUGCUUUUCUAUGAGAUGAAUAAGAAUUACGUGUAGUUCGAUGACCGUAUUAUAGGAAU